Lentinula guzmanii is the source of this 88-nucleotide non-coding RNA. The record is from the annotation of a GenBank genome assembly. Lineage: Eukaryota; Fungi; Basidiomycota; Agaricomycetes; Agaricales; Omphalotaceae.
UCCUUCUUAGCUCAGUUGGUAGAGCGCGUCACUAGUAACAAGUAGACAACUUAUGACGAGGUCAGUCGUUCAAGUCGGCUAGAAGGAA